GAUGAACGCUGGCGGCGUGCCUAAUACAUGCAAGUCGAGCGAACAGACGAGGAGCUUGCUCCUCUGACGUUAGCGGCGGACGGGUGAGUAACACGUGGAUAACCUACCUAUAAGACUGGGAUAACUUCGGGAAACCGGAGCUAAUACCGGAUAAUAUAUUGAACCGCAUGGUUCAAUAGUGAAAGACGGUUUUGCUGUCACUUAUACAUGGAUCCGCGCCGCAUUAGCUAGUUGGUAAGGUAACGGCUUACCAAGGCGACGAUGCGUAGCCGACCUGAGAGGGUGAUCGGCCACCCUGGAACGGAGACACGGUCCAGACUCCUACGGGAGGCAGCAGUAGGGAAUCUUCCGCAAUGGGCGGAAGCCUGACGGAGCAACGCCGCGUGAGUGAUGAAGGUCUUCGGAUCGUAAAACUCUGUUAUGAGGGAAGAACAAAUGUGUAAGUAACUAUGCACGUCUGGACGGUACCUAAUCAGAAAGCCACGGCUAACUACGUG
RNAcentral lists this ribosomal RNA (497 nucleotides) under uncultured bacterium. RNAcentral describes it as "partial 16S ribosomal RNA". It matches the Rfam family "Bacterial small subunit ribosomal RNA", at positions 28 to 507 of the family's 1533-position model. The record is from RNAcentral.